AACGAACGCUGGCGGCAUGCCUAACACAUGCAAGUCGAACGAGACCUUCGGGUCUAGUGGCGCACGGGUGCGUAACGCGUGGGAACCUGCCCUUAGGUUCGGAAUAACUCCCCGAAAGGGGUGCUAAUACCGGAUAAUGUCUUCGGACCAAAGAUUUAUCGCCUUUGGAUGGGCCCGCGUUGGUUUAGCUAGUUGGUAGGGUAAAAGCCUACCAAGGCGACGAUACAUAGCUGGUCUGAGAGGAUGAUCAGCCACACUGGGACUGAGACACGGCCCAGACUCCUACGGGAGGCAGCAGUGGGGAAUAUUGGACAAUGGGCGAAAGCCUGAUCCAGCAAUGCCGCGUGAGUGAUGAAGGCCUUAGGGUUGUAAAGCUCUUUUACCCGGGAUGAUAAUGACAGUACCGGGAGAAUAAGCACCGGCUAACUCCGUG
RNAcentral lists this ribosomal RNA (433 nucleotides) under uncultured bacterium. RNAcentral's name for it is "partial 16S ribosomal RNA". It matches the Rfam family "Bacterial small subunit ribosomal RNA", at positions 29 to 507 of the family's 1533-position model. The record is from RNAcentral.